AAAACGACUCUCGGCAACGGAUAUCUCGGCUCUCGCAUCGAUGAAGAACGUAGCAAAAUGCGAUACCUGGUGUGAAUUGCAGAAUCCCGCGAACCAUCGAGUUUUUGAACGCAAGUUGCGCCCGAGGCCUUUUGGCUAAGGGCACGCCUGCCUGGGCGUCACGC
Molecule: ribosomal RNA, 164 nt
Filed under: Ichnanthus dasycoleus
Lineage: Eukaryota; Viridiplantae; Streptophyta; Magnoliopsida; Poales; Poaceae
Also listed under: 1 other name
Description: 5.8S ribosomal RNA
Rfam family: 5.8S ribosomal RNA
About the family: 5.8S ribosomal RNA (5.8S rRNA) is a component of the large subunit of the eukaryotic ribosome. It is transcribed by RNA polymerase I as part of the 45S precursor that also contains 18S and 28S rRNA.
Source: RNAcentral